Molecule: ribosomal RNA, 887 nt
Filed under: Polymyxa graminis
Lineage: Eukaryota; Endomyxa; Phytomyxea; Plasmodiophorida; Plasmodiophoridae
Description: partial ribosomal RNA
Rfam family: Eukaryotic small subunit ribosomal RNA (bases 1-384)
Source: RNAcentral
GAGGCAAUAACAGGUCUGUGAUGCCCUUAGAUGUUCUGGGCCGCACGCGCGCUACAAUGCUAGGUUCAACGAGUCUGCGACUUGGCCGAGAGGCCUGGUUAAUCUUGUGAAAUCCUAGCGUGCUUGGGCUUGCCUCUUGCAACUAGAGGCACCAACGAGGAAUUCCUAGUAGACGCAGGUCAUCAACCUGCAUCGAUUACGUCCCUGCCCUUUGUACACACCGCCCGUCGCUUCUACCGAUUGGUCGUCCCGGUGAACAAUCGGGAGGGCGCGCACCAGGUCAGCAAUGGCCGGCGCGCGUCCGAACUUUUGUAAAUUUGGUCGACUAGAGGAAGAAGAAGUCGUAACAAGGUUUCCGUAGGUGAACCUGCGGAAGGAUCAUUAGCGUUGAAUGGUUGUUGCCAUUUCGUAAAAAUGUGGAUCGUCUCUGUUGCUGGAUACCGGGAUGGAACGCCCUCGUGGUGGUUCUUGUCUUUCACGAAUUGGAUCAAAACGGUGGCUAAAGUCGAAUUGGUUUCAUAACCUACAAACAAUAUAUACAACUCUUAGCAAUGGAUAUCUUGGUUCCCACAACGAUGAAGAACGCAGCGAAAUGCGAUACGUAAUGCGAAUUGCAGAAUUCAGUGAAUCAUCGAAUCUUUGAACGCAAGUUGCGCUUUCGAGAGCCCUCGGAAGCAUGCCUCUCUGAGUAUCGGUUUCCCAUCUCACACCCGGUGUGGAGAAUGAGGGUCGGGCGCCUCGGCGCCGGUCCCUUCAAAUCAGGCCGGCCUGGUCAAGUCCAUCGGAUUGCUGGUACGAUAGUCCGUCAUGGCGCAAGGAACCACUUGGCAAGAUCUCAGAUGAGGUAAGACUACCCGCCGAAUUUAAGCAUAUCAAUAAGCGGAGGA